Molecule: ribosomal RNA, 301 nt
Filed under: uncultured bacterium
Lineage: Bacteria
Description: partial 16S ribosomal RNA
Rfam family: Bacterial small subunit ribosomal RNA
Source: RNAcentral
CAGCAGCCGCGGUAAUACGGAGGGAGCUAGCGUCGUUCGGAAUUACUGGGCGUAAAGCGCACGUAGGCGGCCUUGUAAGUUAGAGGUGAAAGCCUGGAGCUCAACUCCAGAACUGCCUUUAAGACUGCAUCGCUUGAAUCCAGGAGAGGUGAGUGGAAUUCCGAGUGUAGAGGUGAAAUUCGUAGAUAUUCGGAAGAACACCAGUGGCGAAGGCGGCUCACUGGACUGGUAUUGACGCUGAGGUGCGAAAGCGUGGGGAGCAGACAGGAUUAGAUACCCCCGUAGUCCCUGUCUCUUAUAC